Long non-coding RNA from Planococcus citri (citrus mealybug), 2293 nucleotides. RefSeq lists it as uncharacterized. The transcript is spliced from 4 exons. The record is from RefSeq and is a predicted model, not a curated record. NCBI's taxonomy places the organism in Eukaryota, Metazoa, Arthropoda, Insecta, Hemiptera, Pseudococcidae.
GAGCAAUACAAAUUGUUAACUUUUCACAAAAAAAAAUUACAUCAGAAAUUGAAAAUUCACAUUUUUUGACUUUGCACGCGUAAAAUUUAGCCAAAUGGUGUUAAAUAGAUAUAUAGAGGCGUUGCCAAUGAUAGGAGGAUAAGAAUAUUUCCCUAGUAGGUCAGGAUGAAUCUAACUCCCUAAGAGAUGUAAUAUAUCACCUUUUAAAAUAGUACUUACCCGCUGCUAGCUCAGCUCUUACAACACCAAUAUGUAUAAAUUUAAACAGAUUUAGUCGAGUUUACCUUGUAUUAAUUCGAACCGCACGCGAAAUAAGAACACACGAUAAACACGAACAGUGUAUUAUAAUUUAAGUAAUAAAUUACAACACGAUACUUAAGUCUAAAAUAUAUAAAAAACUCUACGCGUAUAACCAAUAUAUAUUCCACCGAAUAGUGGCGUAAGUAGGAUCGCUUUUACCCACCUACGUGUAACUAUCAAAUUGCCCGCGUUGGGUAGCGAAUUUAGAAGACUUAAGUUUAAACGCGAAUACUCUCCCUUAAACACGAACGUUAAGGCAGAGGACCUGGGACUCAAGCACAACUCUUACGUAGGAGUGAGUGGCCUUAUUACUUUUCCGCGGUCAGACCUACCAGACGAAGCGCGAAUCGACAAGUGAAGAUCAAUUCCAUCUCAACUUGGCUUCUAGCCUCGAGUCGAGAAGGAAUUAAGCUUUACGAACUUGUGAGCUUUUCACAUCUGCCCUUAAUGGAACGAUGUGAAAACACCUCUUGGGUGGUUCCCACGUACUUAACACCUUACCUAAGUGCAUCGAGUAUAUGCUUUCAUCUACGUAAAGUACUGUAGAAUCGAACUAUUGAUUGGAUUCUCCAGUACUUCCUUUAGAUGAAAGAUUUAUAAUCCCACUGAGAGAGAUACGAUGAAUAUCCCUGUCUAGCCAGUGAAGGCAUAUUGUCCCCUUACAUUUGCCCCUAACGUGGGUUUACUUCUAAAGUAUCCCCUGAGGAAAUGUAGAGGAAAGCACGGAAAUUUUGAAAAAAGGUGACAUAGUGCUUCACUGGAUGUGACCCUAUUGCCCCCCGUACUUUGCUUGAGUGAUGCGGGGAAUAGUAAUCCCAAAAUAAAUUUUGAAACUCUUUGGUUUUUAUUAUAAUUCCAAAAGUGAGGUGGAUUUUGAGUGUGCUGGUGAGUUGACUCUUAUUGAUAAGGAGUAACUACAAUUGACCAUCAAUAUUUGACCGAAGUCAAGAUAUCAAUAAAUCAAUCCAGAAGCUACCUUUGAUCUGGUCACUCCGCAGCAGGGUCAUGGCCGAAAUGGUAAGUAUUUAAGUACGAUUUAAUUUUUGAGGGGGAGGGUUAAUCUAAAAGGUACCCUUCCUCAAUUUUAUGAUUUCAGGAGAAGAUGAAAAAAAGCUCAAGAAGUUCGUGGUUGUUUGGCUUUGUUGUCUUUGGAUAGUCUGACCAAGAAUUUUUGAAGAAAAAAUUGCUGGUGUAUUUUGGUCAACGACGAUGGCAAGAGAAUUACUUUGUUUAUCAAAAACUAAAGAUAAGUACAAAAACAUAUUUACAUUUUUAUUAAAUAAUGUAAAAUUUAAGAGCAUUUUUGUUUCUUAGGAUUAAUCAGUCUAAUUUAAACACAUGAUCGAUUUAAAAUAUCUGUACAUUUUUUAUUUCUAAAAAAAUUUUAAAGUUAUGAAAUAAAUUAAAAAUAAAAAAUGUUGUUUUUGUUUAGGACCAGUUCAGAGAAAGAUGGGUGAAACUUAAAAUAGGAUUGAGCCAAAGUUGAACCAGUCUGUUGGGAUAUUUUUCGUAUUUACAAUAAGUAAGAAGGCAAAGAAGAUUUCCUUAACUAAUAAUGCACAGAUCCUUUUUCUUGGCUCAUGGACUUCUUUUCCAGGAAGACAAAGAUAGCUAGAUUUUUGAAAGGAAUGUUAUCCGUCUACGGUCUGAGUCAACAUGGCCUUCUGUGCCCUGAAUGUGAUAUCUUUGUUAAAAAAUUAAAAAAAAUUAAAAAAAAGAAUUUUAAAAAAAAAUAAAAUUAAAAUUUUUGUAAAUUUUUGGAGAAAAAAAAAAUUUUUUGAAUUUGAAUUUUUUGAUUCUGUAAACGUAUUUUACGUUAAUAUAAGUUUGUAAAAAAUAAAAAAAAAAUAAUUGUAAACAUUCAAAAAAUAAAUUGAAUUUAUUUUAAGUUUGUAAAAAAAAAUUUUACAUACAUGUAUUAUUGUAUCGUAGUUUUAGAGUACAAAUUUUGUAUGUUUGUAAAAAAAAAAAAAAAAUAAAAAAAAUAUUUUGU